Molecule: long non-coding RNA, 502 nt
Organism: Mercenaria mercenaria
Lineage: Eukaryota; Metazoa; Mollusca; Bivalvia; Venerida; Veneridae
Exons: 3
Source: RefSeq, a predicted model, not a curated record
UUUUUUUACUUAUUUCAGUUUGAAGAAGUGGCGGCAGUUACUUAUCCAAAGAAACCUUGUCAGCAAAGAAAACCUACAUGUAAAACACAAAGCAGAAGAAAAAGCAAUCAGUGUGAACAGCCUGUGGUUGUAACAUCACAAAUUGUUCAACAUGGUACCAACAAAACUGUAUUACAGGAGCCUUCAACUUCCAAUGAAAAUGUGUCACUUUCCCAAAGUACAUCUGGAAGGUCUAGACGGUCCAGACAUGUCAAAUUGGUUGGUAGAAAAAUUCUUCAUGAAUGGUGCGUUUGUGACAAAAAGAAAAAGGGAAAAAAUAAAUGGUUCUCUGGAAUUGUCUUAGAUGUUGUCAAAGGAAAAGAUGGUGACCCCAAAGCAGUAUAUGAAGUACUGUAUGAAGGAGAGGAUGCUGCCAAUAAAGUAGAUCACUUACAUGUUGACUUCAUAAAAGGCUCCUUAAAAUUCAACGACAUUUGAGGACAGGUAAAAGUUUAUUUUAUCA